This 247-nucleotide unclassified non-coding RNA is filed under the name Hevea brasiliensis (rubber tree). Lineage: Eukaryota; Viridiplantae; Streptophyta; Magnoliopsida; Malpighiales; Euphorbiaceae. The record is from RNAcentral.
ACCUGCAGUGCACUGCUUCAGAUAAGUCUGGAGAGAGAGAAGUCGGGCGGUAUUUUGCGAGGAGAGAUACGUAGAGGGAGAGGGGAGAGAGACAGCUCAGUGGCUAUAUAUAGCCAUUUGUGAGUGUACAUAGUGAUUGUGAGAGGCUUUGGUGGUAAUCGUAAUGAGUACUGUGUCGGAAUUACCGAAUUAGGAAAACGUGGCGGGAGGGACCAUUGGUGUGGCAACAGUAGUGGUAGAGUGUGUG